Vigna unguiculata (cowpea) is the source of this 424-nucleotide long non-coding RNA. RefSeq lists it as uncharacterized. NCBI's taxonomy places the organism in Eukaryota, Viridiplantae, Streptophyta, Magnoliopsida, Fabales, Fabaceae. The record is from RefSeq and is a predicted model, not a curated record.
GACAUACAUGGGGUUUUCUAAACUCCAGAGAAGUUCCAAAUGGUUUUUUAAUAAACCUCCGGAAUGUUUCACGUUCAUGCACAUUUACACCAUCCUAUGCCUUAUUAUUUUUCACAUGCUCAUAAAACCUAAAACCCUAAAAACUUCAAAUCUUCAUCUCUGAAUGGGAAAAACAUUUCGCGUUCGCAUCUCUUCGUCUCAAACCGAUUUUGCUCUUCGAUAUUUGGUGCGUUUUCCAUAUUUCCGGUCCGUUUGAUAGUAGUUGCUUAGAGGAUUUAGUACGCAUGGUGUAUGUGUUGCGGGUUCACGACGACUGCUUUGAAGGUUCACGACUACUUCGAAGAGUUACGUAUCUAGCCACGGUGGUGAUGAAAGAGCAUAGCACUUGAGAGAGCAGCAACAAAACCUUCCAUCAAAAUCAACG